Pogoniulus pusillus (Red-fronted tinkerbird) is the source of this 1040-nucleotide long non-coding RNA. RefSeq lists it as uncharacterized. The record is from RefSeq and is a predicted model, not a curated record. NCBI's taxonomy places the organism in Eukaryota, Metazoa, Chordata, Aves, Piciformes, Lybiidae. The transcript has 7 exons.
UGGAAGUGGAGGUGAUAAAAAGCAGCCCUGAGAAGGCCUUAGGGGUGCUUGGGAGAAGCUGAGUCUGAGCAGCCUGUGUGAGCUUGCAGGCCAGAAGGAGUCUGUCAGAGAGAUCUUAUUUGCUUUACCCAAAAUCAAGUUGGAGAGAUGUGUGGAGCCUCAGCCACAGACCCUGACUGUUGGGGGGGAUGCUUUCAUGGCAGAAAGCCGAGCUGUUCGAAACCCAGUUCCUCCUUUGGAAAAUGGGGACAGAGACAUCUCUCUGCUGCCUGAGUUCGCCUGGUGAAUUCAUGGGGGGAAGGGCAGGAAACUCCCAAAUGACCACAUCUGUACUUAAUAGAAUGAAGAUUAUGGAGGGAAAAGUAAGGUGACUUCAGAGCAGAGAAGUGAUAUUGCAGAGGAAAAAGCUGAACAGGUCUAUUGGGAAGAAAACAAACUCUGGAGGAAAAAUCUGAGGUGUCUGUGCUAAUAAUGUGCAAGUGGGAGGAGUGGCUGCCAUCUCUUGAAGCUGUGCUACUCUUCAGACCCAUUUUGCCAGGUUGGGGAGCUGCAGAGAGGACACCUGAGGAAGAAUCAUGGAACCACAGAUCUCUUGAGGCUGGAAGAGACCCUUGAGAUCACCAAGUCUUGCCACAAGUUCACAAUCCCACCACUACAACUAAUCCACUACCAUAUCUGGAGAACAACCUUCUCUUUUCUUGUGUUAAUGGACACUGCUCAAGCCAAACAGGAUCAUCCAAGAGCCAAGUAACUGGCAAUAUGGGUGGCUGCUCAGCAGGGGCCAUCACUAAAAAGGAUGCUUGUCUGUGGUAAAGACAGCACCCAUCUGAUCUAGUACAUUCCAUCCAAUUAACAUCUGUAAAUUUCCUGGUAAUGGCAUGAUGUAUACAAAGGUGACAGCAUGAGGCUCUAUUUCCAAUUGUAUCAGAUAAGAAUCCCUCCACAGCAUUGUUUGUCUGUGAGGGAGUUUGGAUUUUUGUAUUAUUUCUAGUUUGUUUCUAAUUGUAAAUAAAUAGUCUAUAUAUGUUAGUAAAUUUGGC